AUGGCCCACCCCACUCCACCUCUCUCCUCUGUGCAAACGCCAACGUGCAGGCGCACUGCUCCGAUGCGCCCGCCGGUCCGCUUGACCACCUCCUGCUCGCCGCGCGGCCCAGCCGUCAACUGGUGCGCCGCCGCCAACGAGCGGGGUACGGGCAGAGGCGAGCUCGCGGGAUGCGGCGCGCACAAGCGGGGCACGGGCAGAGGCGCGCGAGGCGAGGCGAGGAUGGCUCCGGCAAGCGCGGGGCGCGGAGCGGCAGCGUGCGGGACGGCUCUGGCGGGCGCGACGAGCUACAGCACGAGCGGAGCGCGGCGCGCAGGGGGCGGCAGCGCGCGGGACGGCUCCGUCGGGCGCGAGCGGUGCGCGGCCAAAUGCAACGCACGGGAGGCGCGGCGAGCUGCAGCGCGUGGCGGGCGGGGCGGGGGGCGCAACGAGCUACGGCGGGCGCGAGCUGGCGCAGCGGCCGCGGUUAGCUGCGGCGAGCGCGGCGGGCAUGCUGCUCCGGUCAUGCAGGUGGCUGCUUGUGUGCGUGCAUGCACAACGCAUGCUACCCGCGUGCGUAGCUAG
RNAcentral lists this ribosomal RNA (564 nucleotides) under Triticum aestivum (bread wheat). Its description in RNAcentral is "partial small subunit ribosomal RNA". Lineage: Eukaryota; Viridiplantae; Streptophyta; Magnoliopsida; Poales; Poaceae. The record is from RNAcentral.